This 253-nucleotide ribosomal RNA is filed under the name uncultured bacterium. Its description in RNAcentral is "partial 16S ribosomal RNA". It matches the Rfam family "Bacterial small subunit ribosomal RNA", at positions 524 to 776 of the family's 1533-position model. The record is from RNAcentral.
UACGUAGGGGGCAAGCGUUGUCCGGAUGCAUUGGGCGGAAAGAGCGUGUAGGCGGCCAGGUAGGUCGGUUGUGAAAACUGGAGGCUCAACCUUCAGAGGUCGACCGAAACCAUCUGGCUAGAGUCCGGGAGAGGAGAGUGGAAUUCCUGGUGUAGCGGUGAAAUGCGCAGAUAUCAGGAAGAACACCCGUGGCGAAAGCGGCUCUCUGGAACGGUACUGACGCUGAGACGCGAAAGCGUGGGGAGCGAACAGG